This is a non-coding RNA of Pedobacter sp. BMA, 45 nucleotides long. The record is from Rfam. Lineage: Bacteria; Pseudomonadati; Bacteroidota; Sphingobacteriia; Sphingobacteriales; Sphingobacteriaceae.
AAAACGGUGGUAUUAACCACCACCAAUGGCACAAAGGCAUUGCAU